Non-coding RNA from Salvelinus sp. IW2-2015, 583 nucleotides. Lineage: Eukaryota; Metazoa; Chordata; Actinopteri; Salmoniformes; Salmonidae. The record is from RefSeq and is a predicted model, not a curated record.
AGUGCAGCAAUUAACCGUAGUAAGAAGCAUUGUCUUUAUGAAGUACAGUACUAUGUUUUCUAAUGCGUUUGUUACAGGAAGAGAAUUCAUUAAACCUGUCAUGGGCUACUUCUGCAACCUGUGUCAAGCCAUUUAUGUCAAUGAGGACGAAGCAAAGUACCAACACUGCAGCAGCCUUUGUCACUAUCUGAAGUUUAUGGAACAUUCAGGUAAAGACAAAGCCUCUAGCUAAAGGAUGGUCCAUCUCUGUAGGAAGUUGACAAGAUGACAGUUUUAGGCCCAAUUUGACGGGAAGUGUACAAGUGCACACUUCUGGAGGAGUGUGAAGAAUUGGGAUUUUGCCAUGUCUUACACUCAGAAGAACGGCACAGGUUUACCUAAUCCACGAGAGGSUCUUUGUGAAACUCAACCUAGAACAAUAAAUGGGAUUACAGAUUACGUUAAUCUGUAUUGGUUUAUAUGAACAAAUGUUCAGCACCUACCUACAUAUAUUGUUAUGUUUGUGUUAUAAUAGCUCCGAUCUACUUCCUGUAACUUGAUUUGUGUGUCCUGUGCUUGGAAUUAAAGCUUUUAGAAAACCCUA